RNAcentral lists this ribosomal RNA (478 nucleotides) under uncultured bacterium. RNAcentral describes it as "partial 16S ribosomal RNA". It matches the Rfam family "Bacterial small subunit ribosomal RNA", at positions 28 to 507 of the family's 1533-position model. The record is from RNAcentral.
GACGAACGCUGGCGGCGUGCUUAACACAUGCAAGUCGAACGUGAUUUUUGUGGAAAUUCUUUCGGGAAUGGAAAUGAAAUGAAAGUGGCGAACGGGUGAGUAACACGUGAGCAACCUACCUUACACAGGGGGAUAGCCGUUGGAAACGACGAUUAAUACCGCAUGAGACCACGGAAUCGCAUGAUAUAGGGGUCAAAGAUUUAUCGGUGUAAGAAGGGCUCGCGUCUGAUUAGCUAGUUGGAAGGGUAAAGGCCUACCAAGGCGACGAUCAGUAGCCGGUCUGAGAGGAUGAACGGCCACAUUGGAACUGAGACACGGUCCAAACUCCUACGGGAGGCAGCAGUGGGGAAUAUUGCACAAUGGGGGGAACCCUGAUGCAGCGACGCCGCGUGAGCGAAGAAGGUUUUCGAAUCGUAAAGCUCUGUCCUAUGAGAAGAUAAUGACGGUAUCAUAGGAGGAAGCCCCGGCUAAAUACGUG